RNAcentral lists this ribosomal RNA (520 nucleotides) under uncultured bacterium. RNAcentral's name for it is "partial 16S ribosomal RNA". It matches the Rfam family "Bacterial small subunit ribosomal RNA", at positions 355 to 893 of the family's 1533-position model. The record is from RNAcentral.
UGGGGAAUAUUGGACAAUGGGGGCAACCCUGAUCCAGCCAUGCCGCGUGAGUGAUGAAGGCCUUCGGGUUGUAAAGCUCUUUUGGCGGGGACGAUGAUGACGGUACCCGCAGAAUAAGCCCCGGCUAACUUCGUGCCAGCAGCCGCGGUAAGACGAAGGGGGCUAGCGUUGUUCGGAAUUACUGGGCGUAAAGCGAGUGUAGGCGGUUGCCGUAGUCAGGUGUGAAAGCCUUGAGCUCAACUCAAGAAAUGCACUUGAUACUGGGUGACUAGAGGACCGGAGAGGAUAGUGGAAUUCCCAGUGUAGUGGUGAAAUACGUAGAGAUUGGGAAGAACACCAGUGGCGAAGGCGGCUAUCUGGACGGUUACUGACGCUAAGACUCGAAAGCGUGGGGAGCAAACAGGAUUAGAUACCCUGGUAGUCCACGCCGUAAACGAUGGGUGCUAGACGUUGGCGAGCUUGCUCGUCAGUGUCGCAGCUAACGCGUUAAGCACCCCGCCUGGGGAGUACGGCCGCAAGG